GACGAACGCUGGCGGCGUGCUUAACACAUGCAAGUCGAACGGAAAGGCCCUGCUUUUGUGGGGUGCUCGAGUGGCGAACGGGUGAGUAACACGUGAGUAACCUGCCCUUGACUUUGGGAUAACUUCAGGAAACUGGGGCUAAUACCGGAUAGGAGCUCCUGCUGCAUGGUGGGGGUUGGAAAGUUUCGGCGGUUGGGGAUGGACUCGCGGCUUAUCAGCUUGUUGGUGGGGUAGUGGCUUACCAAGGCUUUGACGGGUAGCCGGCCUGAGAGGGUGACCGGCCACAUUGGGACUGAGAUACGGCCCAGACUCCUACGGGAGGCAGCAGUGGGGAAUAUUGCACAAUGGGCGGAAGCCUGAUGCAGCAACGCCGCGUGCGGGAUGACGGCCUUCGGGUUGUAAACCGCUUUCGCCUGUGACGAAGCGUGAGUGACGGUAAUGGGUAAAGAAGCACCGGCUAACUACGUGCCAGCAGCCGCGGUGAUACGUAGGGUGCGAGCGUUGUCCGGAUUUAUUGGGCGUGAAGGGCUCGUAGGUGGUUGAUCGCGUCGGAAGUGUAAUCUUGGGGCUUAACCCUGAGCGUGCUUUCGAUACGGGUUGACUUGAGGAAGGUAGGGGAGAAUGGAAUUCCUGGUGGAGCGGUGGAAUGCGCAGAUAUCAGGAGGAACACCAGUGGCGAAGGCGGUUCUCUGGGCCUUUCCUGACGCUGAGGAGCGAAAGCGUGGGGAGCGAACAGGCUUAGAUACCCUGGUAGUCCACGCUGUAAACGGUGGGUACUAGGUGUGGGGUCCAUUCCACGGGUUCCGUGCCGUAGCUAACGCUUUAAGUACCCCGCCUGGGGAGUACGGCCGCAAGGCUAAAACUCAAAGGAAUUGACGGGGCCCCGCACAAGCGGCGGAGCAUGCGGAUUAAUUCGAUGCAACGCGUAGAACCUUACCUGGGUUUGACAUGGAUCGGGAGCGCUCAGAGAUGGGUGUGCCUCUUUUGGGGUCGGUUCACAGGUGGUGCAUGGCUGUCGUCAGCUCGUGUCGUGAGAUGUUGGGUUAAGUCCCGCAACGAGCGCAACCCUUGUUCACUGUUGCCAGCACGUUAUGGUGGGGACUCAGUGGAGACCGCCGGGGUCAACUCGGAGGAAGGUGGGGAUGACGUCAAGUCAUCAUGCCCCUUAUGUCCAGGGCUUCACGCAUGCUACAAUGGCUGGUACAGAGAGUGGCGAGCCUGUGAGGGUGAGCGAAUCUCGGAAAGCCGGUCUCAGUUCGGAUUGGGGUCUGCAACUCGACCUCAUGAAGUCGGAGUCGCUAGUAAUCGCAGAUCAGCAACGCUGCGGUGAAUACGUUCCCGGGGCU
This 1346-nucleotide ribosomal RNA is filed under the name uncultured bacterium. RNAcentral describes it as "bacterial SSU rRNA". It matches the Rfam family "Bacterial small subunit ribosomal RNA", at positions 28 to 1381 of the family's 1533-position model. The record is from RNAcentral.